AUCAUUAGCGAGUUAAUAACAAACUCCAAACCCAUGUGAACUUACCUCUUGUUGCCUCGGCAGGUCGUGCUGCACGGUAUUUUCGCCAACCUACCCUGGAGCUACCCUGGAGUACCUACCCUGUAGUUACCCUGGAAAAGCUCCUCUGGAAUUCUCUAAGAGCUACCCUGGAGCUACCCUGUAGUUACCCUGGAGGUACCCUGGAGUUGGGAGGCGACCUACCCUGUAGUACACAACCAGGCCUGCCGGCGGACCACUAAACUCUGUUUUAUAAUUGUAUCUCUGAGGGCUAUUAUGCAAAUUAGUUAAAACUUUCAACAACGGAUCUCUUGGCUCUAGCAUCGAUGAAGAACGCAGCGAAAUGCGAUAAGUAAUGUGAAUUGCAGAAUUCAGUGAAUCAUCGAAUCUUUGAACGCACAUUGCGCCUAAUAGUAUUCUGUUAGGCAUGCCUGUUCGAGCGUCAUUUCAACCCCCAAGCCCUAUUUGCUUGACGUUGGGAGAUUACAGCCCUGCUGUAACUCCUCAAAUCUAGCGGCGGAGCUAAGUGUUGCUUCUAAGCGUAGUAAAUCUCAUUCUCGCUUCUGGAGCUACCCUGUAUCUUGCCGUAAAACCCCCAAUUUUCUAGUGGUUGACCUCGGAUCAGGUAGGAAUACCCGCUGAACUUAAGCAUAUC
This 673-nucleotide unclassified non-coding RNA is filed under the name Biscogniauxia sp. SG25. RNAcentral describes it as "sequence contains ITS1, 5.8S rRNA gene, ITS2". The stretch from base 310 to 463 matches the Rfam family "5.8S ribosomal RNA". The record is from RNAcentral. Lineage: Eukaryota; Fungi; Ascomycota; Sordariomycetes; Xylariales; Xylariaceae.